GAUGAACGCUGGCGGCGUGCCUAAUACAUGCAAGUCGAGCGAACGGACGAGAAGCUUGCUUCUCUGAUGUUAGCGGCGGACGGGUGAGUAACACGUGGAUAACCUACCUAUAAGACUGGGAUAACUUCGGGAAACCGGAGCUAAUACCGGAUAAUAUUUUGAACCGCAUGGUUCAAAAGUGAAAGACGGUCUUGCUGUCACUUAUAGAUGGAUCCGCGCUGCAUUAGCUAGUUGGUAAGGUAACGUCUUACCAAGGCAACGAUGCAUAGCCGACCGGAAAGGGUGAUCGGCCACACUGGAACGGAGCCAGGGUCCAGACUCCUACGGGAGGCAGCAGUAGGGAAUCUUCCGCAAUGGGCGAAAGCCUGACGGAGCAACGCCGCGUGAGUGAUGAAGGUCUUCGGAUCGUAAAACUCUGUUAUUAGGGAAGAACAUAUGUGUAAGUAACUGUGCACAUCUUGACGGUACCUAAUCAGAAAGCCACGGCUAACUACGUG
This 497-nucleotide ribosomal RNA is filed under the name uncultured bacterium. RNAcentral describes it as "partial 16S ribosomal RNA". It matches the Rfam family "Bacterial small subunit ribosomal RNA", at positions 28 to 507 of the family's 1533-position model. The record is from RNAcentral.